AAAUAAGAAACAAAAUAUUGUAUUUAGUUUCGACCUAAAAUUUUGGUAAUUUUACCCUUAUUUU
RNAcentral lists this transfer RNA (64 nucleotides) under Hydrochus sp. BMNH 840193. RNAcentral's name for it is "tRNA-Arg". The record is from RNAcentral. Lineage: Eukaryota; Metazoa; Arthropoda; Insecta; Coleoptera; Hydrochidae.